This 1236-nucleotide ribosomal RNA is filed under the name metagenome. Its description in RNAcentral is "bacterial LSU rRNA". It matches the Rfam family "Bacterial large subunit ribosomal RNA", at positions 1564 to 2808 of the family's 2925-position model. The record is from RNAcentral.
UGAGUACGAGAUGCUACGGCGUCGAAGCAGUCUAUGUCAGACUUCCAAGAAAAGCUCGCUAUGUCAUAAAUAAAAGAUGCCUGUACCAUAACCGACACAGGUGGGUAGGUAGAGUAUACUAAGGGGCGCGAGAUAACUCUCUCUAAGGAACUCGGCAAAAUAACUCCGUAACUUCGGGAGAAGGAGUGCCUUCUUUAAGAAGGUUGCAAUAACAAGAUCCAAGCAACUGUUUAUCAAAAACACAGGUCUCCGCUAAGUCUCAAGACGAUGUAUGGGGGCUGACGCCUGCCCAGUGCCAGAAGGUUAAAGAAAUUGGUUAGCUUUGGCGAAGCUGAUGACUGAAGCCCUGGUGAACGGCGGCCGUAACGAUAACGGUCCUAAGGUAGCGAAAUUCCUUGUCGGGUAAGUUCCGACCCGCACGAAAGGCGUAAUGAUUUGGAUACUGUCUCGGAGAGGGACUCGGUGAAAUAGACUUGUCUGUGAAGAUGCGGACUACCUGCACCAGGACAGAAAGACCCUAUGAAGCUUUACUGUAACUUGAAAUUGAAAUUGGACUUUAUUUGCGCAGCAUAGGUGGAAGGCUUGGAAGGUAUUCUUGCGGGACUACUGGAGCCAUCAGUGAGAUACCACUCCUAUAAUGUUAGAUUUCUAACUUUGAAUCAUGAUCUGGUCAAAGAACAGUUUCAGGCGGGCAGUUUGACUGGGGCGGUCGCCUCCCAAAUGGUAACGGAGGCGUACAAAGGUUUCCUCUGAACGGGUAGAAAUCGUAUCUAGAGUGUAAAGGCAUAAGGAAGCUUGACUGUGAGACCUACAAGUCGAGCAGGGACGAAAGUCGGUCUUAGUGAUCUGACGGUGCUGAGUGGAAAGGCCGUCACUCAACGGAUAAAAGUUACUCUAAGGAUAACAGGCUGAUCUCCCCCAAGAGUUCACAUCGACGGGGAGGUUUGGCACCUCGAUGUCGGCUCAUCGCAUCCUGGGGCGGUAGUACGUCCCAAGGGUUGGGCUGUUCGCCCAUGAAAGCGGUACGCGAGCUGGGUUCAGAACGUCGUGAGACAGUUCGGUCCAUAUCCGGUGUAGGCGUUAGAAUAUUGAGAGGAGCCUUCUUUAGUACGAGAGGACCGAGAAGGACAUACCUCUGGUGUACCAGUUAUCGUGCCAACGGUAAACGCUGGGUAGCUAUGUAUGGAGAGGAUAACCGCUGAAAGCAUCUAAGUGGGAAGCCCACCUCAAGAUGAG